This 3390-nucleotide unclassified non-coding RNA is filed under the name Pomacea canaliculata. RNAcentral describes it as "cubilin-like, transcript variant X9". Lineage: Eukaryota; Metazoa; Mollusca; Gastropoda; Architaenioglossa; Ampullariidae. The record is from RNAcentral.
GCUAAUGGGUAGACGUGAAGUCAUAUAAGUAGAGGCGUACCCACAUGAAGCGACUCAGUGACAGGCCUCGUCUGCCUUUGAGUGUCACCUUGCUUGACCUCGUGAACAGGACUUUCAGUGACUGCACGUGACAGUUCCUCCUUGCUGUCUGCUGAUUUACCUGGCGUGAAGAUUGUCUUGACAGCUCACAUCACAAAACAAUUUGCUGCUUCAUUACAGUGACCUCCACCUCAGCUUCUGUUUCCCUGCCACUGAGCAGCAUGGCGCUGACGAUGCUUGCCUUUGGGGUCGUCACACUCCUUAUUGUGCACAGUCCAACACUCGCACAAACAACAAGAUCAUCAGAUGCUACGCCCACAUCUACAACAACAGCGACAUCAGUGUGCCCUGUCAAUGCUACGACUCUGGAUGUUGUACCCGGGCAAGUUGGUCACGUGACGUCUCCUAACUACCCGUCCCCCUAUUACAAUUAUGCCAACUGUCGCUGGCUGAUAAACGCUGGCAGUGGUUAUGUUGUGAAGGUGACUAUCUUGAACUUUAAUCUGGAGACAUGUUGUGAUUACUUGGAGUUAUACAACGGAACCGAGCCAUCCAGUUCAUCCCUCAUUAUCAGGACCAGUUCCAUGCCCCAACAGUCAGUCUUCCAUAGCAGUGGGCAGUACAUGUACAUCAGGUUUUCCAGCGACGGCUCCGUCACGUCCUCAGGCUUCAGGCUGACAUACGAGGCCGUUGACCAGCAGACUGUGCCAACGUCUGUUUGUACUUCUAACGGGACAACUUUCUCUGCUGUACCCGGGCAAGUCGGUUACCUGACGUCUCUUUAUUACCCAUCUGUCUAUUCCGGCUUCAUCUCCUGCUCGUGGACGAUAAAUUCUACCAGUGGCUAUGUCGUCAAGGCAACUAUCUUGAACGUUACUAACCCCGAGUUCUACUUCUACAUCAGAAUUUAUGACGGUAUGUCGGAAUCAUCAACUAACCUUGCCCAGUUCUCCAGCAUCUUAUCACAAACCGUGUAUUACAGCUCUGGACAGUCCAUGUACAUCAGGCUUACCACCGACGGUCUCAGCCCAAACACAUCCUUCAGUCUCACCUACGAGGCUGUCGAUGAGUCGUCUGGCCCCAAGUCUGUUUGUACUUCUAACGGGACAACUCUCUCUGCUGUACCCGGACAAGUCGGUUACCUGACGUCUCCUUACUACCCGUCUGUCUAUUACACCGGCUUCAUCUCCUGCUCGUGGACGAUAAAUUCCACCAGUGGCUAUGUCGUCAAGGCGACUGUCUUAAACGCUAACCCUCAGUUCUACUCCUACAUCGUGAUUUAUGACGGUACGUCGGAAUCAUCACGCACACUUGCAUCGUUCUCCAGCAUGCCAUCACAAACCGUGUAUUACAGCUCUGGACAGUCCAUGUGCAUCACUCUUACUACCUACGGUCUGAGCCCAAACGCAUCCUUCAGUCUCACCUACGAGGCCGUCGAGCAACUGUCUGCCCCCACGUCUGUUUGUACUUCUAACGGUACAACUUUCUCUGCUGUACCCGGGCAAGUCGGUUACCUGCCGUCUCUUUAUUGGCCGUCUGUCUAUUCUGGCUUCAUUUCCUGCUCGUGGACGAUAAAUUCUACCACUGGCUAUGUCGUCAGAGCAACACUCUUAAACGUUACUAACUCUGAGUUCAACUACUACAUCGUUAUUUAUGACGGUAUAUCGGAAUCAUCACGUACACUUGGACGGAUCUCCAGCAUGCCAUCUCAAACCGUGUACUACAGCUUUGGACAGUCCAUGUACAUCACGCUUAGUACCAACCGUCUGAGCCCAAACGCAUCCUUCAGUCUCACCUACGAGGCCGUCGAGCAACUGUCUGCCCCCACGUCUGUGUGUACUUUUAACGGGACAACUUUCUCUGCUGUACCCGGGCAAGUCGGUUACCUGACGUCUCUUUAUUGGCCGUCUGUCUAUUCCGGCUUCAUUUCCUGUUCGUGGACGAUAAAUUCUACCAGUGGCUAUGUCGUCAAGGCAACACUCUUAAACGUUACUAACGCUGAGUUCUACCUCAACAUCGUGAUUUAUGACGUUAUGUCAGAAUCAUCACGUGCACUUGCUCAGUUCUCCAGCAUGUCAUCACGAACCGUGUAUUACAGCUCUGGACGGUCCAUGUACAUCACACUUACUACCGACGGUCUCAGCCCAAACUCAGUAUUCAGUCUCACCUAUGAGGCCGUCGAGCAACUGUCUGUCCCCACGUCUGCGUGUACUUCUAACGGGACAACUCUCUCUGCUGUACCCGGGCAAGUCGGUCACCUGACGUCUCUUUACUACCCGUCUGUCUAUUCCGGCUUCAUCUUCUGCUCGUGGACGAUAAAUUCUACCACUGGCUAUGUCGUCAAGGCGACUCUCUUAAACGUUACUAACGCUGAGUUCUACUUCUACAUCGGGAUUUAUGACGGUAUGUCGGAAUCAUCACGUACACUUGCAUCGUUCUCCAACAUACCGUCACAAACCGUGUAUUACAGCUCUGGACAGUCCAUGUACAUCACACUUACUACCUACGGCCUUAGCCCAAACUCAUUUUUUAGUCUGACCUACGAGGCCGUCGAUGAAUUGUCUGCCCCCACGUCUGUGUGUACUUCUAACGGGACAAAUUUCUCUGCUGUACCCGGUCAAGUCGGUUACCUGCCGUCUCUUUACUUCCCGUCUGUCUAUUUCGGCUCCAUCUCCUGCUCGUGGACAAUAAUUUCUACCAGUGGCUAUGUCGUCAAGGCAACUAUCUUGCCCGCUACUGACUCUGAUUUUGACUUCAACAUCGUGAUUUAUGACGGUAUGUCAGCCUCAUCCCCUACACUUGCAUCGUUCUCCCGCAUACCGUCACAAACCGUGUAUUACAGCUCUGGACAGUCCAUGUACAUCAGGAUUACUACCUACGGCCUUAGCCCAAACUCAGUAUUCUAUCUAACCUACGAGGCCGUGGAUCCGUUGUCUGCUAAGCUGUCCGUGUGCUCUGUCAAUGCUCCAACUAUUUAUGUUGUACCUGGGCAAGUUGGUUACCUGACGUCUCCUAACUACCCCUCUUCCUAUUACAAGCUCCCAGAUAUCCAGUUCACCCCUCAUUAUCAGGAUCAGCUCCAUGCCCUCACAGACAGUCUUCUACAGCAGUGGGCAGUACCUGUACAUCAGGUUUUACAGACACCACUCCAUCACGUCCUCAGGCUUCAGGCUGACAUACGAGGCCGUUGACCAGGAGACUGUGUCCACGUCUGAAGUGUGUCCUGUCAACGGUACUGCUUUGUCUGCUCUUCCUGGUCGUGUUGAUUAUCUGAGGUUUCCCAACCACCGGUCUAGCUAUUCCAAUAACACCAACUGCCGAUGGUUAAUAAACGCUACUAUUGGUGAUACU